UUAAAGGGAGGUGUUGGAAUGACCC
This 25-nucleotide non-coding RNA is filed under the name Cricetulus griseus (Chinese hamster). Lineage: Eukaryota; Metazoa; Chordata; Mammalia; Rodentia; Cricetidae. The record is from RNAcentral.